Molecule: ribosomal RNA, 118 nt
Filed under: Pelobates cultripes (western spadefoot toad)
Lineage: Eukaryota; Metazoa; Chordata; Amphibia; Anura; Pelobatidae
Source: RNAcentral
GCCUACGGCCAUACCACCCUGAAACGCCCUAUCUCGUCUGAUCUCGGAAGCUAAGCAGGGUCGGGCCUGGUUAGUACUUGGAUGGGAGACCGCCUGGGAAUACCAGGUGUUGCAGGCU